Pristis pectinata (smalltooth sawfish) is the source of this 5171-nucleotide RNA transcript. It is a transcript of the gene named aconitase 2, mitochondrial, with no coding region annotated. The transcript has 19 exons. NCBI's taxonomy places the organism in Eukaryota, Metazoa, Chordata, Chondrichthyes, Rhinopristiformes, Pristidae. The record is from RefSeq and is a predicted model, not a curated record.
UAAAGGCUGCUCUGUGACGUCAUAUCCAUGCGGCAUCUUUGUCAGUGAACAAAAUGGCGACGUACACCCUGACCGCCCGCAGGCUGCAGCAAGCCCUUAGUCAUGGGGUUCGGAGGUACCAUCUCUCCGCCAUGCGUCGGCGAGCCAAAGUAGUCAUGAGUCGCUUCGAGCCCAACGAGUACAUCAAUUAUGAGUUGCUGCGGAAAAACGUUGACAUCGUUCACAAAAGGUUGGACAAGCCCUUGACGCUUUCAGAAAAGAUCGUGUAUGGUCAUUUGGAUGACCCUGUUAACCAAGAGAUAGGUCGCGGGAGAACUUACCUGCGCCUCCGUCCUGAUCGGGUGGCGAUGCAAGAUGCCACUGCUCAGAUGGCCAUGCUUCAGUUUAUCAGCAGUGGGUUGCCCCGGGUAGCCGUGCCAUCUACAAUCCACUGUGACCACUUAAUCGAGGCUCAGGUCGGCGGAGAAAAGGAUCUGGCAAGAGCCAAGGAUAUGAAUAAAGAAGUUUAUGAUUUCUUGGCAACGGCAGGUGCGAAGUAUGGGGUCGGUUUUUGGAAACCUGGCUCUGGCAUCAUCCAUCAGAUUAUUUUGGAGAACUAUGCUUAUCCUGGCAUCCUGCUGAUUGGCACAGACUCCCAUACUCCUAAUGGUGGUGGUCUGGGUGGCAUCUGCAUAGGAGUUGGAGGAGCGGAUGCAGUCGAUGUGAUGGCAGGAAUUCCUUGGGAACUGAAGUGUCCAAAGGUUAUCGGGGUGAAGCUCACAGGACAUCUGUCAGGCUGGACUUCACCAAAGGAUGUUAUCUUGAAAGUGGCAGGCAUUUUGACAGUUAAAGGGGGCACUGGUGCAAUAGUGGAAUAUCAUGGGCCAGGUGUGGAGUCCAUAUCUUGCACAGGCAUGGCUACGAUCUGCAACAUGGGUGCUGAGAUUGGAGCAACCACAUCAGUUUUCCCCUAUAAUCACAGGAUGAAGAAAUACAUGGAAAAGACUGGCAGAGCAGAGAUUGCUGCCGUUGCUGAUGAGUUCCAGGACCUGCUCGUUCCUGAUGAGGGCUGUGAAUAUGAUCAACUCAUUGAAAUCAACCUCACUGAGCUUAAACCACAUAUUAAUGGUCCUUUCACCCCUGACCUUGCACACCCAGUGUCAGAGAUUGGGACAGCUGCUGAGAAAAACGGUUGGCCUCUUGAUAUUCGAGUAGGUCUGAUUGGCAGCUGCACCAACAGUAGUUACGAGGAUAUGGGUCGUUCAGCUGCUGUGGCACAACAGGCAAUCGACCAUGGACUUAAGUGCAAGUCCCAGUUCACCGUAACACCAGGAUCCGAGCAGAUCCGUGCUACCAUCGAGAGAGAUGGAUAUGCUCAAGUUCUGAGGGAUGUCGGUGGGAUUGUUCUUGCUAAUGCGUGUGGGCCCUGCAUUGGACAGUGGGACAGGCGAGAUGUCAAGAAAGGUGAGAAGAACACAAUUGUGACGUCCUACAACAGGAACUUCACUGGACGCAAUGAUGCCAACCCUGCUACCCAUGCCUUUGUCACAUCACCCGAGAUUGUUACAGCCUUAUCCAUUGCUGGCACCCUGAAAUUUGACCCCGAGCGUGACUCGCUGACUGGAGCCGAUGGGAAGAAGUUUAAACUGAAGGCACCAAAUGCUGAUGAGCUGCCCAGCAAGGACUUUGAUCCUGGCCAGGACACUUAUCAGUACCCACCAGAAGACCCCAAGGGCAUCGAAGUGAAUGUCAACCCCCAGAGCCAGCGGCUGCAACUAUUGGCACCAUUUGAUAAGUGGGACAAGAAAGACUUGGUGGACAUGCGCGUGUUGAUUAAGGUAAAAGGCAAAUGUACCACAGAUCACAUAUCUGCUGCUGGGCCUUGGCUGAAGUUCCGUGGUCACCUUGAUAAUAUUUCCAAUAACCUGCUAAUCGGAGCUAUUAACAUCGAGAAUAACAAAGCAAACGAGGUCAAAAACCAUAUCAGCAACGAAUAUGAACCAGUACCUGACACAGCACGUGCUUACAAGAAACGUGGUAUCAAAUGGGUGGUGAUUGGUGAUGAGAACUACGGCGAGGGUUCCAGCCGUGAACACGCUGCCCUUGAGCCUCGGCACCUGGGAGGUCGAGCCAUCAUCGUCAAGAGCUUUGCUCGAAUUCACGAAACCAACCUGAAGAAGCAAGGCCUGCUGCCCCUGACCUUCUCCGAUCCCAGUGAUUACGACAAGGUGCAACCGGAUGAUAAAGUCUCCAUCACUGGGCUGAAUGAAUUUGCACCUGGAAAGCCUCUCACUUGUAUCCUUAAACACAAGGAUGGCAGCCAGGAUACAAUUCUACUCAACCACAGCUUCAACGAGGGACAAAUUGAAUGGUUCAAAGCCGGCAGUGCCCUCAACAGAAUGAAGGAACUGCAGAAAUAAGGCAACAGGCUGCAGAGAGGGAAAUGAACUGUGUCAAAGCACGAUUGUAUUAAUGGAGCCAUCCCUCUGCCAUGUCCGCCACUCAUCCUCCAGUAAUCAUUACCGUGACGUUCAGCAGUUGUACCCACUCCCUUCUGAGGGACAAUUGACAUUUGGCCUGCGCUUGUGAUUUGUUUUUUUUUUAAAUAUAAUUUGUUCAUUGUCUCCUACCUCGGCGUGGUGAAUGGAGCCCAAUCCCCAUCAGCCGCUUGGAAAUUAUUUAUUUGCAAGUUUUGUUUUGUCCCACCCCUGCCCCAACCUACCAGUGGGAAAGCAAGUACCAGUUCUACUUGAGGCAUUUGGGAUUGCCCUAUUAAAGCAUCACAGUCUGUAUGGUAAAAACCCUCCCACAGUACCGUUGGAAAGGGACUUGUAUUUUGGCUCAGUGAGGAAGGAAUAGGAAUGUACCAAUGGCUUGGCUCACUAAAAGUUGCCCACGGUUCUUGUGUUCAAUCUCCACUCAGUAACGCGUUUGGCUCCAUGUGAUGUGCUUGCCAGUCUUCACCUGUGAUCAAAUAGACACUGAGGUGAUGUGUCUGUCGCUGUGGUAGUGAAGUUGCUGUGCACCCACUGCCAUUGUUUGGAGUGAUGUUGCCUUGGAGAAUGGAUAUCACAGCCACAGUCUGCUGAUGAUUCUGGGCUCCACCAAGCACACUGCUUUGUCCUAGAUUUAUUACUUCAUUUGUACCCAUCAAGGCGUAAAUAUUCCAUCACUGACCUGCCAAAGUAUUAGAGGUCUGUGAGGAGAACCUCUCUAACCCACCCAACCAGCCAUGGUAUUAACCUUGCUGGCCACUGGUGUUCCCCAGCUGCUUGUUGUUGGCAGAUUUGGCUUUGUCUUUGAAACUUAAGGAGAGGUGGUCAGGAUCUGCCUUGAAGAUGGUGUCAAUAUCAUUUAUCGCUUUGUGGGGAUGGUCUAGCUGUAGAUAGUUCUAAGAUGCUGUCUUACAGGAACUUCUGCAGCGAUGUACUGUGACUGAUGAAUGUCAUUCAUGUCUGCCUUUCAUGUGACUCCAACCCUGGUGACCCUUUGAGUUUUGCAAGUAUUCCUCCAUGCCAUUGUCCGAAUCCUGAUGUGAUCCUACAAUUUGGGUCGUGUUCGUGUUUGGACUGAGGCUGUAACAAGGUCCGGAGUUUGAACAGUGCUGGCAAAACUCACUGAAUGUUAGAGAUCGGAUUAUUGCUGGGUGCCAGUUGAUGGCAGAAUUGAUGACUCUCUCCGUCACCUUUCUAGGGAUUGAGAAGGGGGUGAUAAGGCAGCGAUAUAAGAACAUGGGUGAUCAAAGCAGGAGGCAAUCACGGAGUCUGUAUGUUCUCCUUGUGAUGACCUGGGUUUAGACCCACAUCCUAAAGACAUGUUCGUAGGUUAGUUGCUGCUGUAAGUAGUCCCUGAUAUAGGUGGGUGGCAGGAGGAUUAAUGCUGUGUUGAUGGGCAUGUGAGAGCGUGAGAGGGAAUAGGUUGGGAGCUUGCAGGGAAAUGUGGGGGGAUGGGACUGAUGGGAUUGAAUGGAGCUGGCAUUAGAGUUGAUGGGCUGAACAGCCUCCUAUGUCACGAGAAAAUAUUAAACAUGGCUGCUGGAUAACGUGGUCUUUUUUGACAAUGUGCAAUCUAAUCGGGAGUUUAGAAAAUUUGGGAAUUUUACCUUUCUUUUUUUUUUAAAAGAAACAGCAGUCUUGGCACUUACCCCCACGGUAACUGUCUUCAAGCCAGUUUCUGCUGUUGACCCUUAAAUUCAAUGGGUCACAGUUUUACUCCUUAACCUUUUGUGUAAUCCUUUGUACGGAUCUUUAGAACGUGCUUGAUGAGCAUCAACUGCUGCAUCCCUCCUCACCAACCUCCUGUGUGACCUCAUCAAAAAUUCAAUCAAUUUUUUUUUACUGUAUAUUGACUAACAUUUGCCAGAGCUUCCAACACCAGACAGCAUAGGUUUGAGGUGACGGGUCAAAGGUUUUGAGGGGAUCUGAGGAAGAAUUUUCUUCACACAAAGGGUGGUUGGAAUCUAGAACUUUGCCUGAGAAGAUGGUGGAGACAGACGCUUUCACAAUGUAGCUGAUAAGCACUGGAAUUGCAGAAGGCUAUCGACCAAGGGCUGGUAAAUGAGAUUAAUAUAGGUAGAUACUUGAUGGUUGGCAUAGACACGGUGGGCUGAAGGGCCUGUUUCUGUGCUGUAUGACUCUAUGAUAAGGACUAGGGGGCACAUUUAAAGUUCUGGCCCAAAGGUAGAUGAAAGUGGAAGGUGAGGAAAGAGUUUUGCAGAGUACUGUAGUUAUCAUCUUGUACUCGUUGCCUGUGAAUGUGGCAGAAAUAGCCAGAGUUUUCAAAGGGAAAUUGGAUUGGCACAGGAAAGAAAACAAGGAAAGAGCAGGGAAAGAGAGGCUGAUGGAUUGCUUUGCUAAGGGCUGGCAUAGCCCUGAUAGGCCAAAUGGCUUUUGUGCCAGAAUUCUGAGUUGCUACAACAUUAACAACUGAAAGAUUUUCUUUCCCCCUUAUAGUUAUCUUCCCCUUGGGUUGUUCCCAGCUGUGACCGCCUUGCUGGGAACUCUGGAACAAAUCUUUCAACUAGUGGAGAUUCCAGGCCAGCCCCGGAACACAGCAGCUUUAGAACAUUCAGCCCAGAGGGAUUGUUCUACCAUUCAGUUACAUCAUGCAUUAUCUUUGUCAUAACUGCUUUCAACCUGGCUUCUGUAAUCCUUAAAUGUCCUUGCUUAAUAAAAUAUCAUGCAAUGUCGGUU